AGAGAGAGACAUGCGCGCAUAUCAAUAAGCGGAGGAAAAGAAACUAACAAGGAUUCCCUUAGUAACGGCGAGUGAAGCGGGAAGAGCUCAAAUUUGAAAUCUUCAAGGGUUUACCUUUACGAAUUGUAGUUUAAAGAAGUGUUUUCUGUUGAAGGUUUCGGUAAAAGUUCUUUGGAAUAGGACAUCAUAGAGGGUGAGAAUCCCGUAUUUGACCGUUACUUUUCAACUUUGUGAUACACUUUCAAAGAGUCGGAUUGUUGGGAAUGCAGUCCAAAAUGGGUGGUAAAUUUCAUCUAAAGCUAAAUAUUGGCGAGAGACCGAUAGCGAACAAGUACCGUGAGGGAAAGAUGAAAAGAACUUUGAAAAGAGAGUUAAACAGUACGUGAAAUUGUCAAAAGGGAAGCGUUUGACACCAGUGUUGUUUUUCUGAAAAUCAAUUAAAGAACUGUUUAUGCUAAGUUGUUUAGACUUUAUCAACUAACUGUUUAGUUUUGAGCUUUUCUUUAAUGCACUUUUCAGUUAACAAGUCAACAUCAAUUUCUUUUGCUGUAAAAAAGCUUGAGGAAGGUGGCUUGAGAUUCGUCUUAAGUGUUUAUAGCCUCUUGCCUAUGCAGUCGGAGAGAUUGAGGUCUGCAGCGUAGAUCCUUCGGGGCUAAAUGCAUUUGUGCUAAGUUAUAGCAUUUUAUAGACAACUUGUUGACUAUGAUUUGUCUUGUAGCUUACUCGCUUAUGUUAUUUUACCUACGCUUAGGAUGUUGAGCGCAUGUCUCUCUCU
Molecule: ribosomal RNA, 775 nt
Filed under: uncultured Neocallimastigales
Lineage: Eukaryota; Fungi; Neocallimastigomycota; Neocallimastigomycetes; Neocallimastigales
Description: partial large subunit ribosomal RNA
Rfam family: Eukaryotic large subunit ribosomal RNA
Source: RNAcentral